Carassius gibelio (silver crucian carp) is the source of this 1576-nucleotide long non-coding RNA. RefSeq lists it as uncharacterized. The record is from RefSeq and is a predicted model, not a curated record. Lineage: Eukaryota; Metazoa; Chordata; Actinopteri; Cypriniformes; Cyprinidae. The transcript is spliced from 3 exons.
UUCAAAUGAGCCCACCCCCUUGUCUCUAUGACUAUGUGAUCCAUAGUUAUGUUCAAUGUAAAAUCCCUAUGUAAUUUCCCACAGUAGGAAAAACACAUUGUUUCAUGGGCGAUCCCUCACCAUUGACUUAGUAUGGGGCAAAUUUGGGGGGCUCUAGCCCCCCAGGGGUACAACUUAUACCCCAAUGCAGGGUAUGUUCUUGCACAGCCUCAUAGCCUCUCCAAAUGUGGUGAUUCACAUGUUUCUGCGAAAUUCUCUCUCGGAGCUACGAUCCGUCAAAGUUGGACGUAAUGCGUUGUCUAUGCGAUUUAUCGGCCGAUAUUUCGCCCGGUGUACGAACAUCGUACGCCCGAUCGCUUAUAAAAGUCAUAGCACACCAUUCCCGAUUAGGCCGCACGAUUUGACGCCUGUUUCGUUGGUCUGUGACGAAAACUGCGGGACUAGUUACGCGCCGAAAUUUGUACGGAAUCUAUAAGAAGAAUAAGAAUAAUAAUAAGUAUGUGAGAUAGUAAUAGUGUUGCCUUGCCUCCGGCAAGCACCACUAACUAGAAGGUACAUUUCCUGAAGAAAAUGUGAGUGGUGCUUGCAGUGGCAAAACUCGCCCCUCUGUUGCUAAGGUGUGGUUGCUAGGGUACCCGGGGUGGUUGCUAGGGUGGUUGCUAUGGUAACCUGGGUGGUUGCUAGGGCCGUUGCUAAGGUACACAAGGUGGUUGCUAGGGUAAUUGGGGCAGUUGCUAGGGUGUUGCUAUGUGGUUGCUAGGGUGCCCGGGUGGUUGCUAGGGCGGUUGCUAGGGUCCCCAAGAUGGUUGCUAGGGCCGUUGCUAGGGUACUCAGGUUGGUUGCUAGGGUAAUCGGGGUGGUUGCUAGGGUGUUGCUAUGUGGUUGCUAGGGUACCCGGGGUGGUUGCUAGGGCGGUUGCUAGGGUCCCCAUGAUGGUUGCUAGGGCCGUUGCUAGGGUACCCAGGUUGGUUGCUAGGGUAAUCGGGGUGGUUGCUAGGGUGUUGCUAUGUGGUUGCUAGGGUACCCGGGGUGGUUGCUAGGGCGGUUGCUAGGGUCCCCAUGAUGGUUGCUAGGGCCGUUGCUAGGGUACCCAGGGUGGUUGCUAGGGUAAUCGGGGUGGUUGCUAAGGUGUUGCUAGGCGGUUGCUAGGGUACCCGGGGUGGUUGCUAGGCAGUUGCUAUGGUCUCCUGGGUGGUUGCUAUGAUGUUACUAGGUGGUUGGUAGUUGUCACAGAUGGUCACUAUGUAGUUAUUAUAGAGUUCUUAGCCCAUUUGAGCACUUAGCUAAUCACUAUUAGCAUGUAGCUAAUCACUGCUAGCAUGACAAGCAUGUUGGAAGUCCAGUGUGCUAGCAUGAGUCAAAAAAUCCAACCGCCAUGUCUGUACGAUGUUCUGAUGCAGAGAUAUAGGUCAUGCAAAACGGUUGCUAGGGUACUCUGUUUGGUUGCUAUGGAGUGGCUUGGCAGCUGCCAAUGGUGAUACUCCAAAGGCUGCUCGCCAAUAUAAACCAACCCCCAUGCCUCUACGAUGUUCUGAUGAAGAGAUAUAGAUCUUGCAAAACGGUUGCUAGGGUACUG